GAGUCUGGNNCGUGUCUCAGUCCCAGUGUNGCCGGUCACCCUCUCAGGCCGGCUACCCGUCGUNNCCUUGGUAAGCCAUUACCUCACCAACAAGCUGAUAGGCCGCGAGUCCAUCCAAAACCACAAAAAAGCUUUCCACCAACCACCAUGCGACAGUCAGUCAUAUCCAGUAUUAGACCCAAUUUCUCAGGCUUAUCCCANAGUUAAGGGUAGGUUACUCACGUGUUACUCACUUGUUCGCCACUAAUCCCCCAGCAAGCUGGGAUCANCGUCCGACUUGCAUG
This 284-nucleotide ribosomal RNA is filed under the name uncultured bacterium T2760c. Its description in RNAcentral is "partial 16S ribosomal RNA". The record is from RNAcentral.